AGUACUUGGCUACGAACCAAGGGGUCGUGGGUUCGAAUCCUGCCAGCCGCGCCA
This 54-nucleotide transfer RNA is filed under the name Burkholderia pseudomallei 1258b. RNAcentral describes it as "partial tRNA-Arg". It matches the Rfam family "tRNA", at positions 22 to 71 of the family's 71-position model. From Rfam's summary of the family: Transfer RNA (tRNA) molecules are approximately 80 nucleotides in length. Their secondary structure includes four short double-helical elements and three loops (D, anti-codon, and T loops). The record is from RNAcentral. Lineage: Bacteria; Pseudomonadati; Pseudomonadota; Betaproteobacteria; Burkholderiales; Burkholderiaceae.